RNA transcript from Eriocheir sinensis (Chinese mitten crab), 3751 nucleotides. It is a transcript of the gene named platelet-activating factor acetylhydrolase IB subunit alpha2-like, with no coding region annotated. NCBI's taxonomy places the organism in Eukaryota, Metazoa, Arthropoda, Malacostraca, Decapoda, Varunidae. The transcript has 6 exons. The record is from RefSeq and is a predicted model, not a curated record.
AUCAUCAUCAGCGUCCCUGGCUGGGCUGAGGGGUGUCUGUGUGUGUCUGUGGCCGUGUCUGUGGCUGAGGGAGGCGCCAUGAACCCAGCAGCGGUGCCCACGCCCUUAGAAGACGUGCACGGGGAUGGCAGGUGGCUCAGCAUGCUUGGUGAGGUCUUCUGGUAGGAAAUCCACAGUCAAGGGGCUAAUCAUCUCAGACCGGCCCGCGAAGUGACCGUUUCCUCGCCCUUUCCAGCACAACCGCUUCGUCAACCAGGCGCAUGAGAUGGAGCCGGACGUGGUGUUUGUGGGUGACUCCAUUGUGGCCAACCUGCAGUGCACCGACCUCUGGGAGAAGUGGUUCGCGCCAAUGCACUGCCUGAACUUUGGCAUCGGCGGAGACCAGACGCAGCAUGUCCUCUGGCGCCUCAGGAAUGGGGAGCUGGAGUCCAUUAAGCCUAAGGCGGUGGUGGUGCUAGUGGGGACCAACAACCACGAACACACGGCGGCGGAGGUGGCGGGCGGCAUCACCGAGAUCUGUCGAACCAUCCGAGAGAAGCAACCGCAGGCGUACAUUGUGGCCUUGACACUCCUGCCACGAGGGGAGAAGCCAAACCGCCUGAGGGAGAAGAACGAUGAGGUCAACUCCCUCAUCAAGGAGUCACUGCGCGCCAUCGACCUGUGUCAGGUCAUAAACGUGGACCAGGACCUCGUGCUGGGCGACGGCUCCAUCGACCACCGGGACAUGUACGACUACCUCCACCUCACUUCCCAGGGGUACCGUCGCGCCUUCGAGCCCGUCUACCUCUUCCUGACCAACCUCCUGCAUGAACACGAUGUGCCGCUCCUCAAUAACGCGUCCUCCACCCUCGCCUCCCCCGCCACCGAUCACGCAACCCAGACCAACACCCCGGCAUACUGUGGGGAGUAGCCGGCGCCCAGGUGUGUCUUCCGGGGAGGUGUGCGACAGUCGGUCUUUAGGCGUCAAAUGAGGGUCUUUUUGUGUGUUUCUGAAGGCUUGCGAUGUGGAAAAGACUCAUUUGAUUUGUGGAUUUCUGUGUCUCCCUUUCUCGCUCUCUUCCUGUGUUUGCAGAGGUUUACAGUCUUUACACGUCAAAUGAGAGUCUUUCACGUGUGUUUCUGAAAGGUUCACAAUGUAGAAAAGACCCUCAUGUUAUUUUGUGCAAGAUUCCAUGCAUAAGAUUGCUUCUGUCUUUGCUUUCCUCUUCCUCCUCUUCUUCCUCUGUUUCCCUUUCGUCCUGCCCUGCACGCCGCCCACCUUGCAGCUUCCUCACUAGACAGUCAGGUCUUGUUUUACAUUCUCAAAGGCUUCAAUUGGUUCCUUCGUGCAUCUGUUUCUCGAGGCUCUCAUAGAAGUGGCGGGGCAUUUCAUGGGUACCUUUGCAAGGUUUUGCGAGGUUUUGCUAGAUUUUGCAAGGCUUUGCAAGGUUUUGCAAGAGAACCCAACUCCUCAUCUUCUUGAGAGCCUUGGGAAAGAGUCGCAGUAGGAGCUGCCGAAAGGUUUUGAGAAGAUGAGCUUUUUUUGUGGUCUUCUUUCUCUCAGUCUUUGCUAGUUCGUACACGCCAUUCAGAUUUGUACUUGACAUUUCUGAUUCUAUUUAUGUUAUUUAUUUAUUUAUUUUUAUACCAAGAGUGGGAGUGACUCGUAGCCCACCCAAGCCUGUGAGGCAAAGGACGCUAAAAUGUGAAACUUAAAAAAGCUUGUAAUAUGCAACACUGGAGCUUGGAGACUUUCCCUGAAGCAAAGACUCCUGGCUGGGGAUACCUUGACUCCUUAGGGAGCUUUUAAAAGGUAAAAAAACAUGAGGAAACAAGAGUCCCUAUGACGGAUUUUAUAGAGAUCUUUGAAGUUAAUUUUUGAAUGGUGUCUAUGAACAGUCAAAAGCACUCCACCUUCUCGAUCCUGCACCGUCUCUGUACGCUUCAAUCAGUCAAACGCCGCUUCACCCACCUUAUAGAAUCACGAUUAGAACACGUUUACAGAGGGAGGGACUUACGUAACAGGCCGUCUUGAGGCUACGAUUCCCUCGGUUCCCCUCGAUAAUUUACUUUCCCUUGCUUCCAGAUACACUCAACUUAUUUAUUUAUAUACAACGUUUUAAAUCACCAAUUGCGAACACAUUUACGGAGGGAGGAAUUUACGAAACAGGCUGGCUUGAGGUUAUGGUCGCCUCGGUUCCGUUCAAAGAUUUCCGUUCCCUUGCUUCCAGAUUCAUUCGACUCUUAUAUAUUUAUUACAGCAUUCUAAAACGACCAUUAGAACAUGUUUACAGAGGGAGGGACUUACAUAACAGGCUGGCUUGAGGUUACGGUCGCCUCGGUUCCGUUCGAUGAUUUCCGUUCCCUUCAUUCCAGCUUCACUUUUCCCUUUUUUAUUUAUUACGACAUUUUAGAACAGUGAUUAGAACACGUUUACGCAGGGAGGGACUUACGUAACGGGCUGUCUUGAGGUUACAGUCCCCUCGGUUGCCUUCGAUAAUUUCCAUUCCUUUGCUUCCAGAUACACUGCAUCCUAACUUAUUUAUUACGACCUUCUAAAACGCGAUAAUGAACAUGUUUACGGAGGGAGGGACUUACGUAACGGGCUGUCUUGAGGUUACAGUCCCCUCGGUUGCCUUCGAUAAUUUCCAUUCCUUUGCUUCCAGAUACACUACAUCCUAACUUAUUUAUUACGACCUUCUAAAACGCGAUAAUGAACACGUUUACGGAGGGAGGGACUUACACAUAACAGGCUGUCUAGAGGUUAUGUAUCCCUCGGUUGCCUUCGAUAAUUUCCAUUCCUUUGCUUCCAGAUACACUGCAUCCUAACUUAUUUAUUACGACCUUCUAAAACGCGAUAAUGAACACGUUUACGGAGGGAGGGACUUACAUAACAGGCUGUCUAGAGGUUAUGUAUCCCUCGGUUGCCUUUGAUAAUUUCCGUUCCCUUUAUUUAUUGGCGUAGGCGGUGUUGGAAUGUCCUUUGGUGGUAACGUGUGUGUGGCUGUGGUCAAGUCCUUGCUCUUUGGUGCAUUGGUGGACAGGCCUGAGUGUUGGUUGACUGCCUGGCUGACUGGUUAUCUAACUGACUGACUGGCUGGCAGGGUUAUAAUCUUACUGAAUGGCUUGCUGACUGACUAGCUGACUGUUUUUUGAGUGGAUAGCUGACUGGUUGACUGGUUAACUGACUGACUGGCUGGCAUGGUUAUAACCUUACUGACUGGCUUGCUAAGUGACUGAUUGGCUGACUGACUAGCUGGAUGGCUUUUAAGUGGCUAGCUGACUGGUUGACUGGUUAACUGACUGACUGGUUGAUUGACUGACUGGCUGGCUGGCUGGCAUGGUUAUAACCUCACUGACUGGCUAGCUAAGUGACUGAUUGGCUGACUGACUAGCUGACUGUUUUUUGAGUGGCUAGCUGACUGGUUGAGUGACUGACUGGCUGGCUGGCAUGGUUAUAAUCUUACUGACUGGCUAGCUAAGUGACUGAUUGGCUGACUGACUAGCUGACUGGCUUUUAAGUGGCUAGCUGAGUGGUUGAGUGGGCAGCUUGGUGGUGGUGCAUUCCAGAGCAACCAAAGUCCCGGAACAGAGGGCGGUGCUGUGCUGAUUCUGUUCUUGUGAUAACAUUUAAGUGAUCAUGUUUAUGUUUUAUUUUAGGUCUGAGUCUUGGCUAAGGAGAUGGACCUCACGUGCUGGGGUGUGGGGCAGAACGAUUCACACACACACACACACACACACACACACACACACACACACACACACACACACA